AGCGGAGUAGAGCAGCCUGGAGUGCUCGUCGGGCCCAUAACCCGGAGGCCGGUGGUUCAAAUCCACCCUCCGCUA
RNAcentral lists this transfer RNA (75 nucleotides) under Candidatus Aenigmatarchaeota archaeon. RNAcentral's name for it is "tRNA-Met". It matches the Rfam family "tRNA". From Rfam's summary of the family: Transfer RNA (tRNA) molecules are approximately 80 nucleotides in length. Lineage: Archaea; Nanobdellati; Candidatus Aenigmatarchaeota. The record is from RNAcentral.